Carassius auratus (goldfish) is the source of this 709-nucleotide long non-coding RNA. RefSeq lists it as uncharacterized. The transcript has 4 exons. The record is from RefSeq and is a predicted model, not a curated record. Lineage: Eukaryota; Metazoa; Chordata; Actinopteri; Cypriniformes; Cyprinidae.
UUCAUUUCUGCACAUGGCACAUCAGGGAAAACCUCACAGAGAGCUCACAUUCAUCACAAGUCGAGCACAUCCUGCCUGGAGUCCGUUGCAGGAAAGAGUGGGUCACCGCAGCAUUAUGUAAUGGGCUCUUUGCUGUCAUGGCAACACUGUGGGAACUGGAACUGUGUAUUCGUGUGGCAGGAGGCUGCGGCGUGUGUUGACAGAACGUUCCUCACGUUGGGUUCCUGGAUGGGCCAGACUAUAAACACUCAGUCAAGGAGUUCCUUCUCUUCCACAGUUUGGGUUUGGAGUCUUGCGAAGGCAAAGCCAGUCUGAAGUUUCCAUCCUUCAGCGUGGAGCAGCACUUUCCUGAACUCCAGCCAGGAAAAUGUGUGUCGGCUUGGCAGCUCGACUGUGGGAAGACUAUGGGCAAAAACUGGUGGAGUUUUGCGGCAAAUGGCUUUAUAUAGCCUUACAGCUCCUUGGGACUCCCUCUUUGGUGUAGACAGAGCGAUAGAGGAAGAAGUCUGGCCUCCUCCUCCUGUUUUCUUUGUUAUCUACUCUACACGACUUCCUGCAUGAGCACUGAGGCAGGCCUGUCCACUCAGAGAGAGACUCCCACGUCAGGUUCGUAUUAUGAGUGAACAACUGUGGGCUGAACAACCAAUCAGUCAUAGAUUCACCCAGCCAUUCCCUGCUGGAUGGAAGCGCAUCCGACCAGAGACGUCUG